AUUGAACGCUGGCGGCAGGCUUAACACAUGCAAGUCGAGCGAACGGCGGACGGGUGAGUAGUGGCUGGGAAACUGCCUGAUGGAGGGGGAUAACUACAGGAAACGGUAGCUAAUACAACAUACCAUCAGAUGGGCCCAGAUGGGAUUAGCUAGUAGGUGGGGUAAUGGGUCACAUAGGCGACGAUCCCUAGCUGGUCUGAGAGGAUGACCAGCCACACUGGAACUGAGACACGGUCAAGACUCCUACGGGAGGCAGCAGUGGGGAAUAUUGCACAAUGGGCGAAAGCCUGAUGCAGCCAUGCCGCGUGUGUGAAGAAGGCCUUCGGGUUGUAAAGCACUUUCAGCGAGGAGGCGUUACUCGCAGAAGAAGCACCGGCUAACUCCGUGCCAGCAGCCGCGGUAAUUC
Molecule: ribosomal RNA, 406 nt
Filed under: uncultured bacterium
Lineage: Bacteria
Description: partial 16S ribosomal RNA
Rfam family: Bacterial small subunit ribosomal RNA
Source: RNAcentral